RNAcentral lists this ribosomal RNA (81 nucleotides) under Galaxias olidus. RNAcentral describes it as "partial 16S ribosomal RNA". Lineage: Eukaryota; Metazoa; Chordata; Actinopteri; Galaxiiformes; Galaxiidae. The record is from RNAcentral.
GCCGAUUAACUAGCUCAUACACUUGGUUUAAAACCACAACAUACAUAGACCCCCAUGAAUUAAUACCCCAACAUCAAACCA